ACGGGUGAGUAACACGUAGGUAACCUGCCUAUGAGACUGGGAUAACUAUCGGAAACGAUAGCUAAGACCGGAUAACUGGUUUUCUCGCAUGAGAGAAUCAUGAAACACGGAGCGAUCUGUGGCUUAUAGAUGGGCCUGCGGCGCAUUAGCUAGUUGGUAGGGUAAUGGCCUACCAAGGCGACGAUGCGUAGCCGACCUGAGAGGGUGACCGGCCACACUGGGACUGAGACACGGCCCAGACUCCUACGGGAGGCAGCAGUAGGGAAUCUUCCGCAAUGGACGCAAGUCUGACGGAGCAACGCCGCGUGAGUGAUGAAGGUUUUCGGAUCGUAAAGCUCUGUUGCCCUAGACGAACAGCAUGAGGAGUAACUGCCUUAUGUGUGACGGUAUAGGAGAAGAAAGCCCCGGCUAACUACGUGCCAGCAGCCGCGGUAAUACGUAGGGGGCAAGCGUUGUCCGGAAUUAUUGGGCGUAAAGCGCGCGCAGGCGGUUAAUUAAGUUGGGUGUUUAAGCCCGGGGCUCAACCCCGGUUCGCAUCCAAAACUGGUUGACUUGAGUGUAGGAGAGGAAAGUGGAAUUCCACGUGU
Molecule: ribosomal RNA, 587 nt
Filed under: uncultured bacterium
Lineage: Bacteria
Description: bacterial SSU rRNA
Rfam family: Bacterial small subunit ribosomal RNA
Source: RNAcentral